GAUGAACGCUAGCGGCAGGCUUAACACAUGCAAGUCGAGGGGCAGCAUAAAACGUUGCUUGCAACGUUUGGUGGCGACCGGCGCACGGGUGCGUAACGCGUAUGCAACCUACCUGUAACAGGGGGAUAACACUGAGAAAUUGGUACUAAUACCCCGUAACAUCAAUGAAGGCAUCUUUAUUGGUUGAAAGUUCCGGCGGUUACAGAUGGGCGUGCGUUGUAUUAGCUAGUUGGAGAGGUAACGGCUCACCAAGGCGACGAUACAGUAGGGGGACUGAGAGGUUAACCCCCCACAUUGGUACUGAGACACGGACCAA
This 316-nucleotide ribosomal RNA is filed under the name uncultured bacterium. Its description in RNAcentral is "bacterial SSU rRNA". It matches the Rfam family "Bacterial small subunit ribosomal RNA", at positions 28 to 334 of the family's 1533-position model. The record is from RNAcentral.